RNAcentral lists this ribosomal RNA (516 nucleotides) under uncultured bacterium. Its description in RNAcentral is "bacterial SSU rRNA". It matches the Rfam family "Bacterial small subunit ribosomal RNA", at positions 35 to 518 of the family's 1533-position model. The record is from RNAcentral.
CGAACGGCUGGCGGCGUGCCUAAUACAUGCAAGUCGAACGGUCUUUCUAUGGAAGCUUGCUUCCACUGAGAAGAUAGUGGCGAACGGGUGAGUAACAACGUGGGUAACCUGCCCAUAAGAGGGGGAUAACAUCCGGAAACGGGUGCUAAUACCGCAUAGUUUUCUUGAUCGCAUGAUCGGGAAAGGAAAGACGGCCUUUGUGCUGUCGCUUAUGGAUGGACCCGCGGCGUAUUAGUUAGUUGGUGAGGUAACGGCUCACCAAGACGAUGAUACGUAGCCGACCUGAGAGGGUGAUCGGCCACAUUGGGACUGAGACACGGCCCAAACUCCUACGGGAGGCAGCAGUAGGGAAUCUUCCGCAAUGGACGAAAGUCUGACGGAGCAACGCCGCGUGAGUGAAGAAGGUUUUCGGAUCGUAAAACUCUGUUGUCAGGGAAGAACAAGUUGGAGAGUAACUGCUCCAGCCUUGACGGUAUCUGACCAGAAAGCCACGGCUAACUACGUGCCAGCCGCCGC